UACGUAGGGAGCAAGCGUUGUCCGGAAUCAUUGGGCGUAAAGAGCGCGUAGGUGGCUUUAUAAGUCCGUUGUGAAAGUCAAAGGCUCAACCUUUGAAAGCCGAUGGAUACUGUGAAGCUAGAGUACGGAAGAGGCGAGUGGAAUUCCUGGUGUAGCGGUGGAAUGCGCAGAUAUCAGGAGGAACACCAAUAGCGAAGGCAGCUCGCUGGGACGUGACUGACACUGAGGCGCGAAAGCGUGGGGAGCGAACAGG
Molecule: ribosomal RNA, 253 nt
Filed under: uncultured bacterium
Lineage: Bacteria
Description: partial 16S ribosomal RNA
Rfam family: Bacterial small subunit ribosomal RNA
Source: RNAcentral